AUCCAAUUUUAACUAUGGACUAGCCAGACCACCUGAGCUGAUACCUCGGCUGUAUAAAUGUGGCUCCUUGUGGAAUUGCUUUUACUGAACUUUCAUUUGUAAGUGGCCAAAGCUGCCUGGGUAUUUAGCUAUGUUAUUGAAGCGAUUGGACACUGCUGUGUCUAUGAGGAGCUUCAUGGAGAAGUUCCUGAAACCUCAGCACUUGGGAAAGGUUUCUUCUGGCAUUUGAGAGCCUACAAUAGGUCAGACAGUAUUUGAGAUACUGGGGCUACAGGCGAAACCCAAAGACAAGUCAACAUCAUGUGAUCUCUGAUAUGUUAAACUGGAAAAAAACACAUCAAUUCAGCAGUAAUGCAUAAUCAUGAGGAAACAUCAGGUAAACUUAAAUUGAGACACAACCCCGUUGGUCUUGAUUGUUCAAAAAAUGUCAUAAAAGACAAAGGAAGUCAGAGAAACUGUUUCAGGUCAAAGGAGACUAAAGAAACAUGGAAGUAAUGCAAUGAUCCUGUUUGGGAUCUCAGCCCAGAAUGAAAAUUGUUAUGAAGGACAUGAUUGGGACAAGUAGUAAGAUUUGAAAUAAGGACUACAGAGAGAGAAAGCAACGAGGCAGAAGGUUAACAGUUGGUCAAUCUGGUAGAAGGAUAAGCAAGAGUUCUUUGCACUAUUCUGGCAACUCUUUUGUAAGUUUGAAAUAAUCUUUAAAAUAAAAAAUAAAAAUA
Molecule: long non-coding RNA, 719 nt
Organism: Pipistrellus kuhlii (Kuhl's pipistrelle)
Lineage: Eukaryota; Metazoa; Chordata; Mammalia; Chiroptera; Vespertilionidae
Exons: 3
Source: RefSeq, a predicted model, not a curated record